RNAcentral lists this ribosomal RNA (384 nucleotides) under Vibrio sp. EF1A-B809. RNAcentral's name for it is "bacterial SSU rRNA". It matches the Rfam family "Bacterial small subunit ribosomal RNA", at positions 1147 to 1530 of the family's 1533-position model. Lineage: Bacteria; Pseudomonadati; Pseudomonadota; Gammaproteobacteria; Vibrionales; Vibrionaceae. The record is from RNAcentral.
GACUGCCGGUGAUAAACCGGAGGAAGGUGGGGACGACGUCAAGUCAUCAUGGCCCUUACGAGUAGGGCUACACACGUGCUACAAUGGCGCAUACAGAGGGCAGCAAGCUAGCGAUAGUGAGCGAAUCCCAAAAAGUGCGUCGUAGUCCGGAUUGGAGUCUGCAACUCGACUCCAUGAAGUCGGAAUCGCUAGUAAUCGUGGAUCAGAAUGCCACGGUGAAUACGUUCCCGGGCCUUGUACACACCGCCCGUCACACCAUGGGAGUGGGCUGCAAAAGAAGUAGGUAGUUUAACCUUCGGGAGGACGCUUACCACUUUGUGGUUCAUGACUGGGGUGAAGUCGUAACAAGGUAGCGCUAGGGGAACCUGCGGCUGGAUCACCUCC